AUACGGGUAAUAGUAAGGGCACACGGUGGAUGCCUAGACACUAAAAGGCGAUGAAGGACGUAGCGUAGCUGCGAUAAGUUUCGGGGAGGUGUGUAGCAACCUUUGAUCCGGAAAUUUCCGAAUGGGGCAACCCAGCACAGCAAACCUGUGUUACUUCGAUAUUAAUAAAUCGAAGGGCAAACCUGCUGAAGUGAAACAUCUCAGUAAGCAGUGGAAAAGAAAAAAUGUACGCGAAUUUAUACUGGCGUACAGGAUGGCACAUGUCAUCGCGUCGUCAGUAUAAAUUCGCAUUAUUUCCUCAGUAGCGGCGAGCGAACAGGAAAGAGCCCAAACUUAUUAGUCCUGAGUUUAUCGAAGGAUUGAUAAGGGUUGUAGGGGAAAACACUCAAUGUUUUAAUUGUUCUGUAUCGGUCUUGUGCUUACAAGACUGGGAGAACAAUUAGAACGUUGUAAAGAGUUACAAAAUGAGUUCUUAGCUGAAUCUGCCUGGAAAGCAGAGCCAAAGAGGGUGAUGGCCCCGUAAGCGAAAAGAAUUUCAUCUCUUGUUUUUAUCCCUGAGUACACCGACAAACGAAAGCGUUGGUGGAAGCAUCCCACACUACAGGGAAAGGCUAAAUACUUUUAGUGAUCGAUAGUGAACAAGUACCGUGAGGGAAAGGUGAAAAGUAGGCCGGGAGGCCGAUGAAAUAGAACCUGAAACCGUGUGCUUACAAGGAAUCGGAGCCCCCCACCAUUUUUACUGAUAGGCGUUGUUGUCUUCUUCUCUGUUGAAAAGAAGACAAUAGCGUAAAAUCAAAGAUGCACUAUUGGUGAAAAUGGUGGGGGGUGACGGUGUGCCUAUUGAAGAAUGAGUCAGCGAGUUAUCCUGCAUUGCUCGUUUAACCCCGCCCCACUUUUAUGAAAAAUGUUGUUGUACCAGCAUUGAGUAAUAGUGCAUAACUGGUCUCUUUUGGUGGAGGAGAUAUCAUGUUGUAGAAGUGGGGCGGGGGAAGGCAAAGCGAAAGCGAGUCUGAAUAGGGCGUCGCAUUUUCUAAGUUUAUACGUUUUUGUCGCAAGACCGAACGUAUAGACUUGGGAUUUUGCAAGCAGUGCGGGCUAGACCCGAAGCCGGGUGAGCUUGCCGUGGCCAGGAUGAAAGUCGACGAAAGUCGACUGGAGGUCCGAACCGGUUGGUUGUGCAAAACCUUCGGAUGAGCUGCGGUAAGGAGUGAAAAGCUAAUCGAACUCGGUAAUAGCUGGUUCUCUCCGAAAUAGUUCUAGGACUAGCCUUGGGACAACUACGUGUGGGGGGUAGAGCACUGGAUGAAGGGUAAAGGGCUUCGGCUCGGCCGUUCAAUCAAACUCCGAAUACCCAUACGACUAUCCUGGGAGUCAGACAGUGGGGGCUAAGCUCCAUAGUCAAAAGGGCAAGAACCCUGAUGUUCAUCUAAGGUCCCUAAGUUUUGACUAAGUGUAAAGGAAGUGACAAGCCGAAGACAGAUAGGAGGUUGGCUUAGAGGUAGCCAUCCUUUAAAGAUUGUGUAACAACUCACUAUCAUAUCCCUCACCUUUCGGUCGUAGAUUUUUGUCAGAUUAAGUUAUUAUUUUCUUAUUUCUGAUUAUCAAUGUACGUUCGAAAGGUGAGGGACUGGCUUGUUGCGCCGAAGAUAUAUCGGGACUAAGUCAAAUACCGAAGAUAACAAUUCCGUGCCUCACUUUUGUGUAUAUAUGUAUAAAAUAUAAGGAAAUCUAUCGAAAUUAAGAAAAGGGAUUUAUGUGGAGGUAGCUCAAUUGGCAGAGCUUCAAGGAGGUGGUUCGUCAUCAUGCGACGGGCAAGUGUGCGCACGCUUACCCGUAGCAGACACCUGCUAAAACCUUGAAGGUUCGAGGUUCGAAUCCUCGCUUCCACACCAGGGAAGCAGCGUCUUCCCUCCCUUUUCUUGGUUUUGAUAGUGAAAAUAUAUCCAUAAAAGCGAGGCACGGUCUGGUAGGAGAGCAUUCCAAGGGCGUUGAAGGUCAAUCCGCGAGGAAGACUGGAGCGCUUGGAAGAGAGAAUGCUGACAUGAGUAACCGCAAGCACGAUGAGAAUUCGUGCCCCCGCAAAUCCAAGGUUUCCGUGGCAAUGGAAGUCAGCCACGGGUUAGGCGGCCCUAAGGCGAUGGCGAAAGCCGCAGCUAAUGGACAGCUGGUUAAUAUUCCAGCCCUCCGACAUAACGUUCGAUGGGGUGACGAAAGAAAUAAAUGGGAGGGGAUCAAUGGUUAUUCCCUCAUUUGAGCUGAGAAUGGUGUAUUAGGAAAAUCCGGUACACUAUCUUUAAUGAUGGCAUUCGGGCUUCGAUGAAAGCGGGGAUUAUAUUCUCGCGAUUCCCGUGAAGAGCUUUCCAAGAAAACCCUCUAAGAAUUAAGGUAUGGCGGACCCGUACUGUAAACCGACACAGGUGGAUGAGGCGAGUAGCCUCAGGGGAACGGGUGAUUUCUCGUUAAGGAACUCGGCAAAAAAGCGACCGUAACUUCGGGAUAAGGUCUGGCUCACGCAAGUGAGCCCGCAGCUAAAGUUUCUCUGGCGACUGUUUACCAAAAACACAGCUCCCUGCUAACUCGUAAGAGGAUGUAUAGGGGGUGACGCCUGACCAAUGCGAGAAGGUUAACGGUGGCGGUGUGUGCAGCACUUAGUUUGUAAGUAAGUAACGCUUAUCAAUUAAGUGCUGUGCAUGCUAACUGCCCGAAGCCCUCGUCAAUGUCGGCGAUAACUAUAAUCGUCCAAAGGUAGCGCAACUCCUUGUCGGGUAAGUUCCGACGUGCAUGAAUGGCGUAACGACUGGAGAACUGUCUCAACGAGAAGCCCGGUGAAAGUGCGACACCAGCGAAGACGCUGGUACCCUAUAGCGGGACGAAAAGACCCCGGGAGCUUUACUGUAGCUUGAUAUUGGGUUUACGUUCUAAUUACGUAGCGUAGUGGGGAGAGGUUGAAGGUUUGAUUUCGGUUGGACUGGACUCGUCAAUGAAACACCCAUUUUUUAGAAUGUAUAUCCUAACCUUUGCGGAAAAACCGCAGGGGGACAGUGUCUGGUGGGCAGUUUUCGUGGGGCGCGAUCCUCCCAAAGAGUAACGGAGGAGUUUAUCAAGGUCAGCUUAGCCUGGAUGGAAAUCAGGCUGGACGUGUAAAGGCACAAGCUGGCUUAACGGCAAGGCUUACAAGCCGCGCCGAUGCGAAAGCAGAACUUAAUGACCCGAUGGCACUUUGUAGAAAGGCCUGAGACAUCGGAUAAAAGCUACCCCGGGGAUAACAGGCUAGUCUGGUCCGAGCGUCCCUAGCGACGACCAGGUUCGGCACCUCGAUGUCGGCUCAUCUUAUCCUGGGACUGAAGAAGGCCCCAAGGGUUUGGCUGUUCGCCAAUUAAAAAGAUACGCGAGCUGGGUUCAAACCGUUAAGAGACGGACGUUAUGAACAUGAAUCAUAUCGCUCGGUUUUUUAACAGUUUGAACCCCGAGGAAAAGACAUGAGUCACGGCGGCAUCUAAACAUUUGUUUAGUGUAAAGUUAACUUAUAUCGGUAGAAUCCACUCAUCAAUGGACAAUACCGAGGGAACAAUGCAAAACUCAAAAUGCAAAAUUAUGAAGAUAUGAAAAUGUGCAUUUUCAUAUCUUCAUUUUAAACUUUGAGAUUUACUUUUUACAUUUAAGUAUCAUGAAAUGACACGAUUGGCCCGUAGAGACUACACGUUAACUAUUCCUAAAUAGAAAGACUCGAACUUUUAAGGGAAAGUUCGUUCGAUCUUAAAGAUUUAGGAAGAAAGAUAUAGUCCAAUACACUUAGUAAUAAGUGAAAACAACCACUGAGCUUUUAUUCUUACGAGAGUUGAAGUGAAGUAAUAUGCGUGAGACAGGUUGGUCUCUAUCUGCUAUAGGCGUUCGAAACUUGAGAGGAGUUGCCCUUUGUACGAGAGGAUCAGGGUGAACGAGCCUCUGGUGUAUCGGCUUUCAUACCAAUGGAAUUGCCGAGUAGCUAUUGCACGGAAGGGAUAAGCGCUGAAAGCAUCUAAGCGCGAAGCCCACCUCAAGAUUAGGUUUCGUGGUUCGACGCGAGUCGAACGAAAGACCCCUUGAAGAUGACAAGGUUGAUAGGCUUCAGGUGUAAGGCCAGUAAUGGUUUCAGCCGAGAAGUACUAAUAGGUCGAACUUCCCGUAUCC
Molecule: ribosomal RNA, 4170 nt
Filed under: Patescibacteria group bacterium
Lineage: Bacteria
Description: 23S ribosomal RNA
Rfam family: Bacterial large subunit ribosomal RNA
Source: RNAcentral